This 891-nucleotide ribosomal RNA is filed under the name Myxarium cinnamomescens. Its description in RNAcentral is "partial large subunit ribosomal RNA". It matches the Rfam family "Eukaryotic large subunit ribosomal RNA", at positions 76 to 954 of the family's 3401-position model. Lineage: Eukaryota; Fungi; Basidiomycota; Agaricomycetes; Auriculariales; Hyaloriaceae. The record is from RNAcentral.
UCCCCUAGUAACGGCGAGUGAAGAGGGAAAAGCUCAAAUUUAAAAUCUGGCGGUCUCGGCCGUCCGAGUUGUAGUUUAGAGAGGUGUUUUCCGCGUCGGACCACACAAAAGUUCCUUGGAAUAGGGCUUCAUAGAGGGUGAGAAUCCCGUACAUGGUGUGGACUACCGGGGCUAUGUGAUGCACCCUCAAAGAGUCGAGUUGUUUGGGAAUGCAGCUCAAAAUGGGUGGUAAAUUCCAUCUAAAGCUAAAUAUUGGGGAGAGACCGAUAGCGCACAAGUACCGUGAGGGAAAGAUGAAAAGCACUUUGGAAAGAGAGUUAAACAGUACGUGAAAUUGCUGAAAGGGAAACGCUUGAAGUCAGUCGCGUCUGCUCAGACUCAGCCGUGGUUCUCCGCGGUGUACUUCUGUGCAGAUGGGCCAGCAUCGAUUUUGUCCAUCGUAUAAAUGCAUUUGGAACGUGGCAUCCCUCGGGAUGUGUUAUAGCCUUUUGCCAUGCGGUGAAUGGGAUCGAGGUUCGCAGCGCGCCGAAAGGCUGGGAUUCGUCCACACACGCGCUUAGGAUGCUGGCGUAAUGGCUUUAAACGACCCGUCUUGAAACACGGACCAAGGAGUCUAACAUGCAAGCGAGUGUUAGGGUGUGAAAACCCUUGCGCGAAAUGAAAGUGAAAAGUUGGGAAUCCUUUAGGAUGCACCGACGCCCGGUCCUGAAGUUUUCGGACGGAUCUGAGGCAGAGCUUGUAUGCUGGGACCCGAAAGAUGGUGAACUAUGCCUGCAUAGGGCGAAGCCCAGAGGAAACUCUGGUGGAGGCUCGUAGCGAUUUCUGACGUGCAAAUCGAUCGUCNAAUGNGGGUAUAGGGGCGAAAGACUAAUCGAACCAUCUAGUAGCUGG